RNAcentral lists this ribosomal RNA (266 nucleotides) under uncultured archaeon. RNAcentral's name for it is "partial 16S ribosomal RNA". It matches the Rfam family "Archaeal small subunit ribosomal RNA", at positions 717 to 982 of the family's 1478-position model. The record is from RNAcentral.
AGUCACUGACAUUAGAUACCCGUGUAGUCCAGGGUGUAAACGCCGCAGACUUGGUGUUGGGAACCCUUCGGGGGUGCUCAGUGCCGGAGAGAAGUUGUUAAGUCUGCUACUUGGGGAGUACGUCCGCAAGGAUGAAACUUAAAGGAAUUGGCGGGGGAGCACCGCAACGGGAGGAGCGUGCGGUUUAAUUGGAUUCAACGACCGAAAAACUCACCAGCAGCGACUGUUACAUGAAAGUCAGGUUGAUGACCUUACUAGAUUUUCAG